CCUCCAGCAAUGUGUGCACCUGGUGGGCAGGGGGAGGCUGUGCCUGCACUAACAUGUAAGCAUGGGUGAACUGAUGCUUGGCCUCGUUCAGCCAAUUCAGGAAGGAUGUAAGCUUCACUAGAGAUUCACAUACACCUAAAGUGAGGCACGUACCUGGGUCUGAUGGUGUCAUGGGCAUCUGCAGGCUGGUUUCUGUGCUUGUGCCAAAUCUCACAGCUCACCACGCAGCUCCACAGGGCGCUGUUUGCACACCUGGCCCCUUCACUGAGUUCCUGCAAGCUUCUGGAGAACCGUCGCCUUCAGAUAUCUCCUCCAUCUGAAAGCAUCUCAGGAUACUGCUGCCUCAGGUAAUGCUGCUACACAAAAUCAGAGUGUCCCUGUACUGCUGAUGAAACUUUCCCUGUUGUAUUCCACUGGGAGCUGUUAGCAGUGCUGUGUGACAUCCAGAGAGAAGGCACGUUUAACACCACAGCAAGCACUCAGGUUUAAGAAAAAACACACAUGAAGAGGAAGUCUCAUUAUGUCUGAAAGCUUCUAUCAAGAAAUAUAGAUCAGAGUCCUCAAUAUGACAAAGUCAGUGAAUUUCUGGAGACAAAGACCCAACAGAUAACUUGAGAAACAUGGACAUAUGAAAUAUUAAAAAACCAGCCUUGACAAAAAUGCACUUUGAAGGUAAUAUUACGCUGCAAAAGCUCAGAAAAUAUUUAUAAACAGAGCAAUGAAAGAGAGAUCCGAAGAUAGACACUGAUUACGUGUGUAAAAAAAAGACUGCAUUGGGUCAGGACAAAAAUGCAGAAAACCUGUCAAAAUCUGACAAUCAUCCACAGCAUAUGUUUGGGGAAGAAGCAUACGGACAAGGCAAACAAUUUCAGAGAAAGAGUUGGUCUCUCAGGUCUCAGCACACAAAUUAAUGCACGCUGGGUGUGAACUGCGCUCUCACAUCUGUAAGGAUGCAACUAUGUUCACAGAUAAGAUUUGUCUGCUGUUGUUUAUCCUAUCUUCACUGAAGCACUGUUUUUGUUACUGUGAGAAAUGCAAGAGAGGAGCACAUUACAGCAUUCAUAGCAUUCAAAAGAACAUAAUUACAUCCUCUGUAAUACUGUUGCACUGAUGACCUGCAGUACUCAGGCAGAACUAUGCCUCAGAGCAGAGGGGUGUUCCGUCUGGAAGUGCUCAAGGGAGAUGUGAGAAGGUACAAGGUGUGACUGGUUCUGUGGUAUGGACACGUUCACUGGGAACUGGGCUCUUGAAAUGGUUUUGGAAAGCAGCAGGUGGUGGAUAGUUAUACCCAGAACUGAAGCUUUUCAUGUUUACACAGUUCUAUGACUAGUGUUCUCAGCAAUAAGGAACUGCUGUUCUUGUAAUAAGCUUCAUCAUGAACUUUGAAAUGAGUAGAAACCAUAAGGACUUUGACUUGGUAUAGCUCAUCUUCCUUAGUUCUGUUGUUGUCAGUAUUCAGCAUAAUUAAGUUAAAACAAGUUUGGAAACAUCUCUUGAGUCUUAGAACGACUUCUAGAGAGGACAAUGGAGAUGUACCCUGUGCUUAUAACAUCACCAAGACACUCAGAAUUAAUGUAUUCCCUUUUCUCAGGAGUUACUUUUUUUUUUUUUUUUUUUAAUGUGAUCACAAGGAGUUUUAGGAGGACACAGUUUGAUUUUGUACUGUGAUAGUAGAUAUUUCAGUGCUGCACUCAAAAGUAAAUAUUUUUGUGUUUUUACACAGACCUUCUGUUUUUUUUCUGGCAUGUCUCUGCUUGCUUGGAUAAUUCUCAAGAGAAAGGAUAAGACAGUAGUCAACCAUCUCAUCAGAAAGAAGCAGAUUGCAGGUUGUCCUCCAGAGAAUCCUGGCACUGGAGCUGGCAGAGAUCUAGCCAUUAGACCUGACCUGUAUUGCUACCUUCCAGGUUGUCUCAUCCCUGGCUCCCUGACUUCUUGCCUGCCAUUCUGAACCUCUCAGAACAUUCAAGACAACAUUACACACGAUGUGCACUCACUGCUUCCUUGCUUUCUCCUAGACGUCCAACACCAAACGGGUGGAGAUAUCAGGGCCAUCACACCCACCCUCCAGAAGUGGCUAGCCUGCUUGGUAAGGGGUGUGAUACGCUACUUAGGCAUCUCCUUGUAUUGGGUAGACUGGAGCUUCCUACCUUUGAGAUGGUUUGAAUUUCCUGCUCUAAUCUCUGCCUAUGAAGAACAUGUCCCAAAUGUACUGAAGUGAAAUGAAAUGGAAUAGUGUGGUUGUUCAACACUACGUAAGAAAUGUAUGGAGUAAUAAGAGCUUACACUCUGAAGCUAAGAAUUGGCUCAGAGAUGGAUAAAAAUUACCAUGAUGUAUUCCUGUUGUUUUCAGUCAAGAUAAAUUCUUCUGCUUAUUCACAGACUGUUUUAAAAUCUACCUUUACUUUUCUUCUCCUACCAGUUUUAUUCAAAUGUAAAUCUGUUGACUUUAGCAGAGUUCUGAUAUUUGUCUCAUUUCCUCAGUGUAUUUUUCCAGUCUUAUGCAUGACUUUUCCUCCUGAAACACCCAACUCACCAAGGUCUACGAUAUACAAACUGGAGCACCUUCAAAUUGCAGGAGGCUGAGAGGGCAUUACUGCACACUGACUUUGUCUUAGUCCCUUUUGUAGGCCUCUGCUGUCAGAUGGAAUAUUGAACUGGGUGUACCCAUCUAUAUGCACGGGGAACUAUUUAUUGUAUUCUUCUGAUUGCUACUCUACAGUUAAAGUAUUGAAAUCCUCUUUUAAGGGGACUAACACACGGAGCUAUUUUUAGAGUUCAGAAAUAAAAACACGAAUAAAAAAAUUCA
Tympanuchus pallidicinctus (lesser prairie-chicken) is the source of this 2806-nucleotide long non-coding RNA. RefSeq lists it as uncharacterized. The record is from RefSeq and is a predicted model, not a curated record. NCBI's taxonomy places the organism in Eukaryota, Metazoa, Chordata, Aves, Galliformes, Phasianidae. The transcript has 6 exons.